Molecule: long non-coding RNA, 2723 nt
Filed under: Equus caballus (horse)
Lineage: Eukaryota; Metazoa; Chordata; Mammalia; Perissodactyla; Equidae
Description: lncRNA (ENSECAG00000055281.1)
Source: RNAcentral
UUAAGCCACCGAAUUUUGAGGUUGGUUAUGCAGUAUUUUUGUGACAUUAGCUAACUGAUAGACCAUGCCAUAGAAACGCCUGCUAUCAAGAUAAAUAGAUGACUGACGACUGGGAGUCAUGAAAAGGCUCAGGCUCCACCUGCCAAGGGUUGCUCGACUUAGCAAAUAAAAAUACAGGACCCAGAUAAAUGUAAAUUUCAGAAAAUCAUCAAAUAAUUUUUUAGUAUAGGUAUGUCCCACGCAACAUUUCGGAAAUACUUACACUAAACAAUUAAUGCUUAUUUGAAUUACACACUUAACUGGCAUCCUCUAUUUUAUCUGGCAAUUCUAUUCUGGUAGAUUUCCAAGAGUCGCACUCUGCAGAAAGCACCUAUGCGUAAAAAUGGGCCUGAGCUAGAGAAUCAGAGAUGAAAACAGGAAGUCAUCUCCUCUACCCUCCAUCAGGCUUUAAGUCUCUGAGGCAGACUUUCCUAGAGGGACUGAGUCAGAGAAAAAGCUGCCUAAAAUGUUAAGAAAGUGCAGGCUUGCCAGUGGUUGGGAGAAGUCUCUUUCAGCUUUAUUAUUUAACCACCUUAAAAUCGGCGGUGCAUCAGGGAGCCCUGUCUUCCCUGGUUUCGGCAGCCUGUGGUUCCACAGAGAGCAUCCCUCCAAACCAUCUGAAUCCUGCAUCCCUUUCACUGGAUCCAAGAAGCGUUUCCUGGGUUACUGCACCAUCUGUCUCUGAGGUACCUGCAAGGGAAAGACACUGUGGGGGUGGCGAGAAAGGGACUGCAGACGGCCCAGGAGGGGACUGUGCAGGGACUGUUUGUCAAGGAGUCGGGCCAGCUAAUGAGUGACCAGUGAAGCCAGGGGGCUGGAUGAAAUCGGAGAGAAGAAAUCGAACACCACGGAGGUGAGAGUGCAGAAGAGCUACCACGUGGGAACUCAGUCCGCCCUCCACCUUCAUCUGUCUCUUUAGCAGAUUCGGACAAGCCACUGUUUUUGGCUUUGCACAGACUAGUUGGCUGUUUUCAUGAAUAAUCUCCAACUCAAUCCGGGAAGAAAUUCCACGCUGUCCGCCAGCAGCACAGAUUGUUGCAGGAAAAAUGACACAACUUCAUCCUCUGGGCAAACUUGAAAAUUAUUACAAAUUUCCCCAUCUCUCCUCCACUUGCACAGCUGGCUGUAGAAGGGUGUCAGUUUUUCCAUGGAGAUAGGAGACUUUUUCUCCGUGUGAUUUCUCGUGAUCAGACAAAUCCCUAUGGCCCUUUGUUUACUUUCAUCCUGGGUCCCUUUCCCCUGACACUGAGGUAGAAGCUGUGCAGGCUCUGCUCCUGAGCACUUCUCAGGACUCAGGUAGCAAGCUCGCCUACGCAUGGCCUUGGUGCAAAGAUGGAUUCCAGAAAGGGACACCGACCAGCUAAAAUUCUGCACCUCCAGAUAAAUGACACCAUGAAAACCAAAUGUGCAUAAUGUGGUCAUCAGGGCAGCACAGUUUUGACAUAAACCACAUCCAGCUUGUCUGAGGACCAGGGUUGACCUAACCACCGAUAACUCUGUCUGUGACCGCUGACAGUACUAGAACUCAGCUUUUUCCAGGUAUGCAGGCUCCCACUCACAUGUUGCUUGUAGAUUUCAUAGACUCUCUCCCACUUGGAUCCAAUUCAGUGAAUAAUUCUUGAAUCCCUAUGGCGCUCAUCACACCGUGCUAGGCUCCAGGGGAAUACAAUAAUUAAUAAGGGUCUAGCUUCAGGCAUUUUGCUGUUUGGAAGGAAAAGAGAUCUACAAAUCGCUAUAAAUGUGAGAAGAGACUAAAAAGGACCUGCACGGUUGUAGCGACCAUGGAAGGAGGGGAUAUGGAGAGAUGGUCCUUGGCAGGGAAGGCCUAGGUGUUCUCAUGGAGGAGGCAGCAUUUGAGCAGGGCCAUAAAGGGCUUUAGCGAUGGCCUCUGGGAGGUCAGGAAAGAGAAAUCUAGGUUUGCAAUUUUUCCUCCCACUUAUUCCUAAAUAUCUGGUAGCCUCUCUUUUCUUCACAACAGUCCCUUUCAACCUCUCUUGCUCUUGUUUAGAAUAAUUCUUUGUAAGUUCUGUCUGCGUCUACAGCUUGCAGGCUGAGGAAGAGCUCAGAGCCCUGACAAGCUAAGUUUGAUUCUAUGACAAGCUGGCUGCAGGCAUUUGGUCCAUGAGGAAAUGACAUGUGCAACCAUGUUAGCUUCCAAAACUUCCACCUGGCCUUGAUCACCCAGGGUCUCCAGACACUCGUGUGUGUUGAUCUUGGGAUGCAAAACAGCUGCUGGCCUCUGAGGCGUCUCGGUAACUAUGGAGACAGGAACAUAAACAUCAAUGAGGAUGUCAGGAAGCAGGCAGCCGGUGUUAGGAGUGAAAGCAUCGGCGAGGCUGAUCUGGCAUUGGCGGCAUGUGCUGCAAAUGAUGAAAACAGGAUUCCAAGGCCUCUCUGCUAUCAGGCGGGAUGGCUGUAGCUUUAAAGUGGGGCACCUCUGCUCUCCCUCCUUUUCAUUCAGUUGCUUAGAUAUUCAUUUGUUUAUUGCACAAAUAUGUCCUGAGGGGCUGCUACGUGCAAGACACAGUGUAGGCAGUGGAGAUAGAGGCGAAGAAGGCAGAGUCCCUGUCCUCACAGAGCUUCCCAGGAUAGGAGACUUUCAAGCUAAAACUGGGACAGUCCUGGGGACACUUGGACAAGUUGGUCACCCUACUGAGGGGACAGACCAUUAAGUAUGCAUAUAA